GACGAACGCUGGCGGCGUGCUUAACACAUGCAAGUCGAACGGAAAGGCACUGCUUUUGUGGGGUGCUCGAGUGGCGAACGGGUGAGUAACACGUGAGUAACCUGCCCUUGACUUUGGGAUAACUUCAGGAAACUGGGGCUAAUACCGGAUAGGAGCUCCUGCUGCAUGGUGGGGGUUGGAAAGUUUCGGCGGUUGGGGAUGGACUCGCGGCUUAUCAGCUUGUUGGUGGGGUAGUGGCUUACCAAGGCUUUGACGGGUAGCCGGCCUGGGUGGGUGGCCGGCCGCCUGGCGACUGGUGUACGGCCCCGACUCCUACGGGCGGCAGCCGUGGGGCAUAUUCUACCAUGGGCGGAGGCCUGAGCCAGCAGCGCCGCGUCGGGGAUGACUGCCCUUGGGUUGUGGACGGGUCACGCCUGUGACGAUGCGUGGGUGACGGUAAUGGGUAAAGAACCACCGGCUCGCUACGUG
This 468-nucleotide ribosomal RNA is filed under the name uncultured bacterium. Its description in RNAcentral is "partial 16S ribosomal RNA". It matches the Rfam family "Bacterial small subunit ribosomal RNA", at positions 28 to 507 of the family's 1533-position model. The record is from RNAcentral.